This 380-nucleotide ribosomal RNA is filed under the name uncultured archaeon. RNAcentral describes it as "bacterial SSU rRNA". It matches the Rfam family "Archaeal small subunit ribosomal RNA", at positions 347 to 727 of the family's 1478-position model. The record is from RNAcentral.
ACUUUACAAUGCGGGAAACCGUGAUAAGGGGGCACCGAGUGCUAGCAUCAUAUGCUGGCUGUCCAGGUGUGUAAAAUACACCUGUUAGCAAGGGCCGGGCAAGACCGGUGCCAGCCGCCGCGGUAACACCGGCGGCCCGAGUGGUGAUCGUGAUUAUUGGGUCUAAAGGGUCCGUAGCCGGUUUGGUCAGUCCUCCGGGAAAUCUGACAGCUCAACUGUUAGGCAUUCGGGGGAUACUGCCAGACUUGGGACCGGGAGAGGUAAGAGGUACUACAGGGGUAGGAGUGAAAUCUUGUAAUCCCUGUGGGACCACCUGUGGCGAAGGCGUCUUACCAGAACGGGUUCGACGGUGAGGGACGAAAGCUGGGGGCACGAACCGG